RNAcentral lists this ribosomal RNA (514 nucleotides) under uncultured marine bacterium. RNAcentral's name for it is "bacterial SSU rRNA". It matches the Rfam family "Bacterial small subunit ribosomal RNA", at positions 36 to 594 of the family's 1533-position model. The record is from RNAcentral.
CUGGCGGCAGGCCUAACACAUGCAAGUCGAGCGCUUACCUUCGGGUAGGAGCGGCGGACGGGUUAGUAACGCGUGGGAAUAUACCCUUCACUACGGAAUAGCCUCGGGAAACUGAGAGUAAUACCGUAUACGCCCUUCGGGGGAAAGAUUUAUCGGUGAAGGAUUAGCCCGCGUAAGAUUAGAUAGUUGGUGGGGUAAUGGCCUACCAAGUCUACGAUCUUUAGCUGGUUUUAGAGGAUGAUCAGCAACACUGGGACUGAGACACGGCCCAGACUCCUACGGGAGGCAGCAGUGGGGAAUCUUGGACAAUGGGCGCAAGCCUGAUCCAGCCAUGCCGCGUGUGUGAUGAAGGCCUUAGGGUCGUAAAGCACUUUCGCCAGAGAUGAUAAUGACAGUAUCUGGUAAAGAAACCCCGGCUAACUCCGUGCCAGCAGCCGCGGUAAUACGGAGGGGGUUAGCGUUGUUCGGAAUUACUGGGCGUAAAGCGCACGUACGCGGAUUAGUCAGUCAGAGG